UGCGGCCAUCACGCCUUCUCCGACUACUCCCUCCUCGACGACGUUGUCGGCCUCGUCCUGCAUUCCGCCCUCCUCGUGCCUUACUUCUCCUGGAAGUACAGCCAUCGCCGCCACCACUCCAACACCGGCUCCAUGGAGCGCGACGAGGUCUUCGUCCCCAAGCCCAAGUCCGCCAUGCGCUGGUAUUCCACCUACCUCAACAACCCGCCCGGCCGCAUCCUGACCCUGGCCGUCACCCUCACCCUCGGCUGGCCUCUGUACCUCGCCUUCAAUGUCUCCGGCCGCGCCUACCCCCGCUUCGCCUGCCACUACGAUCCCUACGGCCCCAUCUACUCGGACCGGGAACGCGCCCAGAUCUUCAUCUCCGAUGCAGGCCUUAUGGCGGCCGUGUACGCCCUCUACCGCAUCGCCGCCAGCUACGGCUUCUGGUGGGUGGUGAGGGUGUACGGAGUGCCGCUUCUGAUCGUGAACGGGUGGCUGGUCCUCAUCACCUACCUGCAGCACACGCACCCGUCGCUGCCGCACUACGACUCGAGCGAGUGGGACUGGCUGCGCGGGGCGCUGGCGACGGUGGACAGAGACUACGGGAUUCUCAACAACGUGUUCCACAACAUCAC
Molecule: long non-coding RNA, 617 nt
Filed under: Musa acuminata (dwarf banana)
Lineage: Eukaryota; Viridiplantae; Streptophyta; Magnoliopsida; Zingiberales; Musaceae
Description: long non-coding RNA (MACU_LNC001675)
Source: RNAcentral